UUUGUUCUGGGGGACUGUCGGCAGAAGCCGAAUUUGGGAUGGAAAAGUUCUCUGAUGCCCAUGAAGAUCUCUCCAGGCAGUGAGACGCAGCUACAGUACGAAAUAAACAAGAUGCCCGUGGAAUUGAAAAGAAGGACGCUUUCCUGCUGUGCAUUCAAAUUGCUCUGUGCGUUCUGACAGGCCACUGUCUCCAGCACGUCUGGGAUAUUGGCCGUUGUGGAGAUGCUGUUUAUUUGUGUCCGUUCAGUCUCAGGAUAUCUUCAGAAACACGGAAUUGCCCCGCUUCGAACAGCCUCUAUUAUCCCCGGAAUCGCCGGACGACAGAACAGGCAAGAAAAAUGACCGGCGCGCUCUAGCUAUUCCCCGGAGAA
Molecule: long non-coding RNA, 371 nt
Organism: Xiphophorus couchianus (Monterrey platyfish)
Lineage: Eukaryota; Metazoa; Chordata; Actinopteri; Cyprinodontiformes; Poeciliidae
Exons: 3
Source: RefSeq, a predicted model, not a curated record